GAGCGGGGGUCAACUGUCCUCCCUGUACCAAAAGAGGCCAACGUCAUGACAGUAGCGUUCCACAUAAUUUUUAGAAAGUGAAACUUUAGAAAAUACAAAACAAAAUAAAGAAUAAACAAACCGCGACCAACAAUACUAUACAUAAACAAUAUCCCAUAACCCCCAAGUGAAAAACAAGCUACUUAAGUAUUAUCCCAAAUUAGAGACAACGAUUACCAGCUGCCUCUAAUUGGGAAUCAUACCAAUCACCCAAACUUAGAAAAACUAAAUUAGAACCCCACAUAGAAUAUAACAACUAGAAAAAAAACCUGUCACGCCCUGACCUACUCUACCAUAGAAAAUAAAAUCUUUCUAUGGUCAGGACGUGACACAGAGUCAGAGUGCUGGUAAGUCUCAUGUCUACUGAUUUGAGCUAAAAUAUGGUGUAGAUUUUAGUUUCUCAGAAAACUACAGGAAGUGAUGCAACACUUGAGGUUUUGGUCUCCUCCUUUAUCACACAUUUAUUUUCUGUCUGUCUGUCUGCCUUCUAGCCUGUCUGUUUGUCUUCCUGCCUUACUGAGAAACCAACUGAUCGAAUGAACGUUGUAAUUAAUGCUAUAAUUCAUGUUAUCUAUAAUAUAUACAGUACUCUGUAAAGUAUCUCCUCCUGUCUGUGGUCAGGUCUGAUGGUAUCUAUGAUAUAUACAGUACUCUGUAAAGUCUCUCCUCCUGUCUGUGGUCAGGUCUGAUGGUAUCUAUGAUAUAAACAGUACUCUGUAAAGGCUCUCCUCCUGUCUGUGGUCAGGUCUGAUGGUAUCUAUGAUAUAUACAGUACUCUGUAAAGUCUCUCCUCCUGUCUGUGGUCAGGUCUGAUGGUAUCUAUGAUAAAUACAGUACUCUGUAAAGUCUCUCCUCCUGUCUGUGGUCAGGUCUGAUGGUAUCUAUGAUAUAUACAGUACUCUGUAAAGUCUCUCCUCCUGUCUGUGAUCAGGUCUGAUGGUAUCUAUGAUAUAUACAGUACUCUGUAAAGUCUCUCCUCCUGUCUGUGAUCAGGUCUG
This 1037-nucleotide long non-coding RNA is filed under the name Salmo salar (Atlantic salmon). Its description in RNAcentral is "lncRNA (ENSSSAG00000100785.1)". The record is from RNAcentral. Lineage: Eukaryota; Metazoa; Chordata; Actinopteri; Salmoniformes; Salmonidae.